Sorex araneus (European shrew) is the source of this 1961-nucleotide long non-coding RNA. RefSeq lists it as uncharacterized. Lineage: Eukaryota; Metazoa; Chordata; Mammalia; Eulipotyphla; Soricidae. The record is from RefSeq and is a predicted model, not a curated record. The transcript is spliced from 3 exons.
UACUUAGUUCUUUCCAACCUGGAGAUUGAGAUCAUGAUUCUCAGCUCACCUUGGUUUCCCUUGGGGGCAUUCCUGCAAGUCCCCACUGGACUUGGUUCUUAGCAAAGUUCCAUCCCAGUGACAAGCGGGAGAGCUCCAGCUCUUCCAAGUUCGAGAGAGAUCUCCAUCUCACACCUCCCGACUUUCUCCCGGCCGCGUCUCUGUGAACAUGGACCCAACGCCCUGCUUUGGGGGCUGAUUUAUGGUUGAAUUAGGGAAAAGUCCACGGAGGGUGUAAAAUACAAUGUCCACACUGGGGCCUGAUCUCCCACUUUAUCGGUGAUUGCAAGUGCGGUUUAUAACCCCGGUGCCAAAUCGAAAUCAAGGUGAUUUGUGCAUCAAUCUCCCGGAUAAAAUCAGGCCACGCUCUAUUGUGGUUUGACCUUCGGGGUGCCUUUGGCUGGUCUGUCUCGUCUAAGUCCCUUGGACAAUUACCCAGGGACAGCUGGGAAAUGCAGCGAUAAUGGCCGGAGCUGGGAUUACCAGCUGAAUCAAAAGGCUUAACUGCUCACCCCACAGAUGCCUGAGCGCCCCAGAAAAAGCCCAGAGAGGUAGAGAUGAAGCUCUAGGAUCAUUAAGACAAUCAGGUGGCCUGGCCGGCAGAGGAGGGGAGUGACCUGCUGUCUGUUUCUUAGACCUUUGGUCAACUCUGCUGAACUCCACAGCAAAUCUGAAAGGUGAAAUUUAGCAUCACACACACACACACACACACACACACACACACACACACGAAUAUAUAGAUAUAAUGCAGAAAAAUGGAUCUAAGAAGAAUCUGCAGAGGCCCUCCUCGCCUUCUUUAUAAGCUCAAGAGCUCAGCUGAUCAUGGAAUAAUGUUUCUAAAAUGACCAGAAGGCUGGGGCUGGGUAGGAAAGGUAUUGGUGGCAGCUGUUUUGCCUGGUAUCACUGACUGUCUUUUCUGAUUCUGAGCGAACGCCCUGAGAGACUUCUGGAAAGAUCUGCCAUCUCCUUUGGGAAAGUCCUAAUCCUAAGCUGAAGUUUUGUUUGAUUUGUUUGGAAAUAACACAUUACAUGAGGAGAUGGCUGGUCCGAGUUGAUUAAAAACCGAGAAAGCCAUUUUCAGAAGAAAUGAUGCUGUUUUCUCUCCCAGAAGCUCCUUUGUGGAGCAUGAGCCAGUCAGAUAUGUAAGGCAAGUUGGCUGAUGAAUCCCACCCAGACGGAAACAGGGAAGAAGCAGAAAGUUGCUUACACAUCAUUGGAUACCCCCAAGCAUGUGCUGAUUUGAAUUGUUUCCAAAUCUGCUUUGGACUCAUCUGUAUCUGUUAGAAAACGGUAAUAUAUUUGAGUUGGCUUAGUAUAUUUUAUUGUAUAGGUUCUUAAGCAUAUGAGUUAAAUUGGUGUUUGAGCCCCAGAAAAAAUUUUAAUAUAUUGGUAUUUAGUAUUGUAGAGGUCUAAAAUGCAUUGAUUUUUCAGAUAGAGCCACAAAUAAUAUCCUCUCCAGUGACUGAGCUAAACAUUUUGGAAUUCAGCCAACUUAUUUCUGUCAAACUUAGGGUGCUAUCAGUGUUCAGGGGUCAUUUUACAAACAAUUAAGGAGAAGACAUGCAAAUAAAUGAAUAUGAUAUAAUGUUUUCUUAAAAUUAGAAUUCUUAAAUCUAUUCAAAAACUCUGUAUACUUUGGGGACAAAUACAUUGAUAAUCUAAAACUAUCAUUACUUUAAAGUUUCUCUCUUUUAGUUUGCUCUUGGUCUCUGAGUUUUAACAUCUGUGUUCUCCAUGCAACCUUGUCCUCCGUGCCUUUCUCUGCAUUGGUGAUUCAGCAUUUCCUGAAAGAGUACUUGGCUAUUGGUUCUGGAUUUUUCUUCCCAGGAAAUUAUAUCCCUCCAAAUUAUGCAGUAUUAUUUGUGGCUUAAACAUUUGUGAUAAUUAAACAUUUUGUUAUUCAUACUGAGUAAGAUUUUGAA